GGGGGUGACCUGGCUUCGACGGGGUAGAGAAUGGGCAGACAAGCAUACCGUGCUCGCCUGACGCACGUAAAUCUCCUGGCAAAACAAUAAAUGCUGAUAACUACGGUUACGCACUCGCAGCUUAAUUAGCCACGAGCGCUGAUACGGAUCCUUUCCGGCGGGUUCGUAAAGGCGUCGACAAUGCCGGAAUGGCCUGUGUCCUGUCGGGGUGACACGGGCGAGACUGAAACCCCUGGCUGCGUUUCGGAUGAUUUGAGUCCGGCCAAGAGUCCGAAAGUAAGGUUGUCCGCCGAACUAAGUAUGUAGAAGGUCUGCUGGUUUUCACUUCGGACCGGGGUUCGAAUCCCCGCACCUCCACAA
The sequence is a transfer-messenger RNA, 360 nucleotides long. It matches the Rfam family "transfer-messenger RNA". Rfam says of the family: Bacterial tmRNA, also known as 10Sa RNA or SsrA, is named for its dual tRNA and mRNA-like properties. Its role is to liberate the mRNA from a stalled ribosome.